UGUGGCGGACGGGUGAGUAACGCGUGAGAAUCUACCUUUAGGUUCGGGACAACAGUUGGAAACGACUGCUAAUACCGAAUGUGUCGCAAGAUGAAAGAUUAAUUGCCUAGAGAUGAGCUCGCGUCUGAUUAGCUAGUUGGUGGGGUAAAAGCGUACCAAGGCGACGAUCAGUAGCUGGUCUGAGAGGAUGAUCAGCCACACUGGGACUGAGACACGGCCCAGACUCCUACGGGAGGCAGCAGUGGGGAAUUUUCCGCAAUGGGCGAAAGCCUGACGGAGCAACGCCGCGUGAGGGAGGAAGGCUCUUGGGUUGUAAACCUCUUUUCUCAAGGAAGGUAAUGACGGUACUUGAGGAAUCAGCAUCGGCUAACUCCGUGCCAGCAGCCGCGGUAAUACGGAGGAUGCAAGCGUUAUCCGGAAUAAUUGGGCGUAAAGCGUUCGUAGGUGGUUCUGUAAGUCUGCUGUUAAAGCGUGUAGCUCAACUACAUAUAGGCAGUGGAAACUACAAAACUAGAGUGCGUUCGGGGCAGAGGGAAUUCCUGGUGUAGCGGUGAAAUGCGUAGAUAUCAGGAAGAACACCGGUGGCGAAGGCGCUCUGCUAGGCCGCAACUGACACUGAGGGACGAAAGCUAGGGGAGCGAAUGGGAUUAGAUACCCCAGUAGUCCUAGCUGUAAACGAUGGAUACUAGGCGUUGUCUGUAUCGACCCGGACAGUGCCGUAGCUAACACGUUAAGUAUCCCGCCUGGGGAGUACGCACGCAAGUGUGAAACUCAAAGGAAUUGACGGGGGCCCGCACAAGCGGUGGAGUAUGUGGUUUAAUUCGAUGCAACGCGAAGAACCUUACCAAGGCUUGACAUGUCCGGAA
This 866-nucleotide ribosomal RNA is filed under the name uncultured bacterium. RNAcentral's name for it is "bacterial SSU rRNA". It matches the Rfam family "Bacterial small subunit ribosomal RNA", at positions 94 to 995 of the family's 1533-position model. The record is from RNAcentral.